UACGUAGGGCGCAAGCGUUAUCCGGAAUUAUUGGGCGUAAAGAGCUCGUAGGCGGUUUGUCGCGUCUGCCGUGAAAGUCCGGGGCUCAACUCCGGAUCUGCGGUGGGUACGGGCAGACUAGAGUGAUGUAGGGGAGACUGGAAUUCCUGGUGUAGCGGUGAAAUGCGUAGAUAUCAGGAGGAACACCGAUGGCGAAGGCAGGUCUCUGGGCCGUAACUGACGCUGAGGAGCGAAAGCGUGGGGAGCGAACAGG
This 253-nucleotide ribosomal RNA is filed under the name uncultured bacterium. Its description in RNAcentral is "partial 16S ribosomal RNA". It matches the Rfam family "Bacterial small subunit ribosomal RNA", at positions 524 to 776 of the family's 1533-position model. The record is from RNAcentral.